This 72-nucleotide transfer RNA is filed under the name Saccoglossus kowalevskii. Its description in RNAcentral is "tRNA-Glu". It matches the Rfam family "tRNA". From Rfam's summary of the family: Transfer RNA (tRNA) molecules are approximately 80 nucleotides in length. Lineage: Eukaryota; Metazoa; Hemichordata; Enteropneusta; Harrimaniidae. The record is from RNAcentral.
UCCCAUAUGGUCUAGUGGUUAGAAUUUGGCGCUUUCACCGCCAAGGCCCGGGAUCAAUUCCCGGUGUGGGAA